RNAcentral lists this non-coding RNA (24 nucleotides) under Arabidopsis thaliana (thale cress). The record is from RNAcentral. Lineage: Eukaryota; Viridiplantae; Streptophyta; Magnoliopsida; Brassicales; Brassicaceae.
AAUCUAGGUUGCAUGGAAACUCGC